RNAcentral lists this ribosomal RNA (254 nucleotides) under uncultured bacterium. RNAcentral's name for it is "partial 16S ribosomal RNA". It matches the Rfam family "Bacterial small subunit ribosomal RNA", at positions 524 to 776 of the family's 1533-position model. The record is from RNAcentral.
CACGUAGGGGGCAAGCGUUGUCCGGAUUUAUUGGGCGUAAAGAGCUCGUAGGCGGCUCAGUAAGUCAGGUGUGAAACCUCCAGGCUCAACCUGGAGACGCCACCUGAUACUGCUGUGGCUUGAGUCCGGUAGGGGAGCGUGGAAUUCCUGGUGUAGCGGUGAAAUGCGCAGAUAUCAGGAGGAACACCAGCGGCGAAGGCGGCGCUCUGGGCCGGUACUGACGCUGAGGAGCGAAAGCGUGGGUAGCAAACGGG